UAGGGAAUCUUCGGCAAUGGGGGGAACCCUGACCGAGCAACGCCGCGUGAGUGAAGAAGGUUUUCGGAUCGUAAAGCUCUGUUGUUAAGGAAGAACGAGUGUGAGAAUGGAAAGUUCAUGCUGUGACGGUACUUAACCAGAAAGGGACGGCUAACUACGUGCCAGCCGCCGCGGUAAUACGUAGGUGGCAAGCGUUGUCCGGAUUUAUUGGGCGUAAAGCGAGCGCAGGCGGUCAAGUAAGUCUGAUGUGAAAGCCCCCGGCUCAACCGGGGAGGGUCAUUGGAAACUAGUUGACUUGAGUGCAGAAGAGGAGAGUGGAAUUCCAUGUGUAGCGGUGAAAUGCGUAGAUAUAUGGAGGAACACCGGUUGCGAAAGCGGCUCUCUGGUCUGUAACUGACGCUGAGGCUCGAAAGCGUGGGGAGCGAACAGG
RNAcentral lists this ribosomal RNA (430 nucleotides) under Bacteroidota bacterium. RNAcentral's name for it is "Bacteroidetes bacterium partial 16S ribosomal RNA". It matches the Rfam family "Bacterial small subunit ribosomal RNA", at positions 355 to 776 of the family's 1533-position model. Lineage: Bacteria; Pseudomonadati; Bacteroidota. The record is from RNAcentral.